CCUGUGACACGGAGGGCCCGGGCGGGGAAGGGUGGGGGGCUUGCAGGGGUGCCUGGGUCGGGGGCUGCAGGUGGGAGUGAGCAAAUGUGCUGUCUCGCCACCUCGGGACAGGUGGUAGGGCCUCUGACACAGAGUGGUCCUUCCUGCUGUUCACAGCUCAGCUCACCGUGGGCUGACCAUAGAUUCUCGUUGAAAUCCUAACGCCCCAGGCAAUGAUGUUAGGAGGCGGGGCUUCUGGGAGAUGGCAAGUUCGUGAGGCUGCAGCUCUGCUGGGGGAUCAGUGUCCUUCUACAAGCGGCUCCAGGGAGGUCCCUUGCCCCUUCCACCAUGUGAGGACCCGAGAUGGUGCCGUCUAUGAACCGGGAAGUGAGUCCUCUCCGGACGUGGAACAAGUUGGUGCCUUGAUUUUGAACUUGCAGCCUCCAGAGGAGCACCUGUUGAAGAAUCAUGACCUCUAUCGAGCAUUUACCUGGUCACGGACAUUUUGCUGAAGAAUUCACAAGUUCAUAUAAGGACACGCUUCAUCUCAAGUGUCCAGUUCAAUGAGUUCUGACAGAUACGGACAGUCGUGUGACUCCAGAUCACAAUGUAGGACGUUCUGGUCACCACGGGCUCCUGGAUGCCUCUUCCUACACGGCCACUAGCACGUUUGAAGUCACACACAGGGUAGCGCCGGCCUGGACAGAGGCGGACAUCUGACAAGCGGGCCAAUGAGGAUGACAUCUCGGACGGUAGUCACUGCUACAACGAAAGUCAGUGCCCCACCUUGCCCAGCCGCAGGGUGGACCCUAAGCAGCUCGCCCCACCCAGCCGGUCCUGCCUGCUCUGUCCCUCCCAACCCUGCAAUGGGCAGAUUUCUGGGGGGCAGUCUCUGACCCACUGUGGCCCAGGUACAGAACCCCGCCUUCAAGUCUCUGGGCCUCAGUUUUCUCAUCUGUGUGUUGGGGACAAAGACGCCGCCCGGCCAUCUCACCAGGCUGCCGAGCAGCGUGGAAGAGCUCUGGCUGUGAGUUCCAGAGUUCACAAGUCCGUGUAAUGGAGGCAUCGGCCGGCCUGGUUCCUUGAGAGGGGGUGAGGGAUCUGCUUCCCACUUCCGGCUUCUGGGGCUGUGCCGCAGUUUCUGCUGCUCUUCUGCUUGUGGAAGCAUCAUGGUCUCUGUCUUCACCUCACACCUGCUCCCUGUGCCCGUCUGUGCCCAAUUUCCCCUUUUCUCAGGGCCCAGACAUCUUAGAUAAGGGCUCACCCCAACCUAGCAUGACCUCAUCUUAGCCAAUUACGUUACCAGUGACCCUAUUUCCAAAUAAGGCCACUUCCUGGGGUGCUGGGGAAAGGACUUCAACGUGAAGUUUUGGGAGACACAGGUGCGCCCACAUCACCAGGGGUGUGUGAGCAUGAUGAGCAGCUCGGGGCUCUGGACCUGUCUGCGGGAGCUCCGAGUCCCACGGCACUUGGAGCUGGUUGAGAAUGGGGCUGGGAGCCCCAGGUCAGGUUGAAUUGGUGCUGGGGACACAUGUCUCGUCCCUGGUUCCCCCAGGCUUUAUUAUGACGCACAGUUUCCCGAGAAGCGGAGUCUGAGAUGGAGACUUUUGUACAAGGGACUCACUGAGAGGUACUCCCAGGAGAAAGUGGGGGUGAGACGCAGGACUGGGGGAGCUGAGCUGGGAGGGGCUCUCAGCCACAGCCCAGCCACAGCCCCAGAACCUGAAACGCACCCCAGAGUCAGCCCCACUCACUCAGAAGGGGGGUCCCUGCACCCUCCUCUGGCAGCCAUUGGCUGUGGUGGCCUCACAGGUGGGGCCCAGGGGUCUGUGUUCACACUGCCCAGCAGCAGGCGAGGCACACGGUGGGCUCUGGACGGUGGGCACUUGCUGGCUACACGUGGGGACAGAGCGGGUCCUUCCCUGCACCCUCUAUUCAUUUAUCCACACAGGGAUUAAUUCGUUUGUCCACUCGCUGGUUCCAUUCAGCACACCCCAUUCGCUCAGCUCAGCGUGGGCGGCAGAGGGGUCAGAGGUGGUGGGGGCCCAUGACCUCCUCUCUGGAGCUGCGCUAAACUGGCCAGCUGGCUCCUGGCUGGGGCCUCUCUGGGACUCAUCCUCCUGCCCUACUCACCUCCCUCUGCCUCUGUGCUUGCUGCUGACCACCACCCAAAGAAGCAGGCAUUUCUGGGCGAGGUGGGUCCCGGCCCCCUGUGGCCGAAGGUGUUCCCUGGGAAUGGACAGCUGUGAGCAGGCGGAGCCACACACAGAGCCACCGACCGGGCUGUGUAGGUGAAGGAGCCACGUGGAGGUGUGCAGGAGGUGGAACACUUAGGACCCUUUCCCGUGGGCAGAGACCCAGUGCCGGGGGAGGCCUGGCUGGGUCGUACCCCCAGCCUCACCCUGGCUCAGGACACCGGCACCCAGAAUCCUUGGGCCACUCCGAGCCCAGAGGCACCCAGGCCCUCCUUGAGCUACAUGCAGCUUUAAAACACACAUGUCCUUUGACCUCCUCCCACCCAGGGGGUUUCUCUGCUCUCUCCCCUUGAAUCUGGCGGCCUCCACCCCGCCCCGACCCCACACAAAUG
This 2566-nucleotide long non-coding RNA is filed under the name Homo sapiens (human). Its description in RNAcentral is "HSALNT0402315". The record is from RNAcentral. Lineage: Eukaryota; Metazoa; Chordata; Mammalia; Primates; Hominidae.